UGGGCAGGGACACGGGCAGAUGUCCCCACCUGUGACGGUCCCAGGAAGGGACAACCUAAAGUCCAUCAGGGCUUCCCACAAAUCCCCAGGAUGCAGCAGCAGAUCCCAGCUCCUGUGGGACACCAAAGGCAGGAGCAGGGCCUUGGGGCAGUCCCCAGGCUGGGGUUUCUCCACCAGCAGGAACAAAUCCAUUGGGAACGGGAGCAAGCGUGCAGCUGGGGGGAAUCCGGGAGCAGAGGGAGACGAGCGGCUCCGGAGCCUUGGGAGGUGAAAUCCCUUCUUCUUUUAUGAAGGAUUUAUCAAGUUUGGGUUGAAAGCACCGAGGAAGAUUCCCUGUUUGGAUAAGCCUCUGGCUUGUGCUGGAUUAACGUCCCGGGCUGGGAACUGGAGGAUGCUCGGGAAGAUCAAAAUGAGGAGCUGCAAACCGAGCCGUGAGGAGAAGCGACCCCUCUGCUUUUCCAGGGCCAGGAAUUCCAGGAUUGUCAGACAACAUUUCCUGACCCAGAGAGGAUGAAUCCCAGCACUGCUGCAGGGCAGACACCUGGAGCUGCAGCAGCUCCACAGCUGAGCUUCCCAGCCAAGGAUUGCCAUGGAAUAAAGCAAUUCCCAGCUGCUGA
Passer domesticus (house sparrow) is the source of this 617-nucleotide long non-coding RNA. RefSeq lists it as uncharacterized. The transcript has 2 exons. NCBI's taxonomy places the organism in Eukaryota, Metazoa, Chordata, Aves, Passeriformes, Passeridae. The record is from RefSeq and is a predicted model, not a curated record.